CAAAGAACCAUGUUAUUUGGAUAUCCCUAUAUUAAUAUUCGAUGAUAUUUUGCAUGAACCCGCGCUUUUGAUAGGAUAGUUUCAAUUUUGACAUAAUAAUAUUCUCUGCAUUUAUUCGUUGUCGGUUCUUGAAACAUUUAACGUUUUAUUCAUUUUAUUUUAUUUUGAAGAAGGAUAGAAUAUCUUGAGUUUCAUCACUUUCAUCAGUCUUUAGUGUGGCAUCAUUUGUUGCAUCGUUUUCAAUCUUGGGUGAUUUUCUACUUUAUAACGAGUUCUUUUGUUCAGGAAAUCGUUAUUAACAAUUAAAAUGACUUCCACAAGUUUCAAUGUUGGCGUUGAUGUUGAAGCCAAAAGUUCAAGUAGGGUGCUCCGUCCUCCAGGUGGUGGUCACACCGAUAUUUUUGGAGUAAAGGAACCCAUUGUCCCUGAAGUUCGUAAAGAAGAUAAUAAGAGAAAUGCAUCUUCAAUUUUAGAAGGAACUAAUACUCAAGCUAUUCAAAAUGCCAACUCCCAAAUAACAAAAACUGAAGAAAAGUCUACUCAAGAGAGCUCUCCAAAAGAAAUUGGGGAAUUGCCUACAAAUCAAGUAGAUCAAUCAGCACAAAAAAAAAGAGUGCCGCCUGGAGGAUUCUCUUCUGGUCUUUGGUAAAGGUUUUACAUUUAAUUCCUAGCCAUUCUAUCUGGAUCUUAUCAAUGGUGCGAGAAUUUUAUUUGAGUUACUUAUUUAAAAGAUUAUCUUUGUAUAUUGGUUGUUAAUAUUGUACGACUCAACCAGUAAGUUUUAUAAUAACUUUUAAAAAUGAAUGUACUUAAAAGUAUUCAAAAUAGUGAAUGAGUACUAUAUAACUCUUCAAGCAAUUUAAAUAUCCAUAUUUUUUGAUAUGCCACAUUUUAUCUAGUGUGAAAUAAAGGAAAAGUACAUUAA
RNA transcript from Harmonia axyridis, 925 nucleotides. It is a transcript of the gene named jupiter microtubule associated homolog 1-like, with no coding region annotated. The transcript has 2 exons. The record is from RefSeq and is a predicted model, not a curated record. Lineage: Eukaryota; Metazoa; Arthropoda; Insecta; Coleoptera; Coccinellidae.